UUAAGUAAGGAAGGGCGUACGGCGAAUGCCUGGCCACUCGAAACUGAAGAAGGACGCGCCAAACUGCGAAAAGCUCCGUGAAGCUGUAAGGAAGCGAAGAAGCGGAGGUGUCCGAAUGGGGGAACCCGGCAGCAGACAUGAGCUGUCAUCUGCAGGUGAAUACAUGGCCUGCAAGAGAGGUACCCGGCGAACUGAAACAUCUAAGUAGCCGGAGGAAAAGAAAACAACAGUGAUUCCCUGAGUAGCGGCGAGCGAAAGGGGAGAAGCCCAAACCGGUCCAAGGACCGGGGUUGAAGGACCAUGAUAUGGCAAGAGAGAGGAUAGAAGAACGGGAUCGAAAGCCCGGCCGAAGAAGGUGCAAGCCCUGUAUUUGAAAUCUGAUUGAAGCCUAAUGGGAUCCUGAGUACGGCGAGACACGAGGAAUCUUGUCGGAAGCAGGCGGGACCAUCCGCCAAGGCUAAAUAUAAACGAGUGAGCGAUAGUGAACCAGUACCGUGAGGGAAAGGUGAAAAGAACCGCGGGAGCGGAGUGAAAGAGAACCUGAAACCGUAUGCCUACAAGAAGUCAGAGCCCGUUAAGGGGUGAUGGCGUGCCUUUUGUAGAAUGAACCGGCGAGUUGCGACAGACUGCGAGGUUAAGGAGGAAAGACCGGAGCCGAAGCGAAAGCGAGUCUUAAUAGGGCGAAAGUAGGAUGUUGCAGACCCGAAACCGGGUGAUCUAGCCAUGAGCAGGUUGAAGUUGAGGUGAAACUCAAUGGAGGACCGAACCGACUACCGUUGAAAAGUUAGCGGAUGACUUGUGGCUAGGGGAGAAAUUCCAAUCGAACCCGGAGAUAGCUGGUUCUCCCCGAAAUAGCUUUAGGGCUAGCGUCGGAAAGAACCUUAGUGAAGGUAGAGCACUGAAUGUGUGAUGGCCCCAUCCCGGGGUACUGAAUACAAUCAAACUGCGAAUGUCAUUAAGGAUGUCCGGCAGUCAGACUGUGAGUGAUAAGGUCCAUGGUCAAGAGGGAAACAGCCCAGACCGCCAGUUAAGGUCCCAAAAUACAGGCUAAGUGGAAAAGGAUGUGGGGAUGCCCAGACAACUAGGAGGUUGGCUCAGAAGCAGCCAUCCUUUAAAGAGUGCGUAACAGCUCACUAGUCGAGUGACCCUGCGCCGAAAAUGUACCGGGGCUAAGCCUGAUACCGAAACUGCGGAUUGUAGGAAACUAUAGUGGUAGGGGAGCGUUGUAUACGAGUAGAAGCCGUACCGUGAGGAGCGGUGGAUUGUAUAGAAGUGAGAAUGCCGGUGUGAGUAGCGAGAUGUAGGUGAGAAUCCUACACACCGAAAGCCCAAGGAUUCCAGGGGAAGGUUCGUCCGCCCUGGGUAAGUCGGGACCUAACGCGAGGCCGAAAGGCGUAGUGGAUGGAAAGCAGGCGAAAGAUUCCUGCACCCGUAUAUGGAGCGAAGGAGUGACGGAGACGGAUAGUGUGACCCUCUUAAUGGAUUGAGGGCGAAGCGAAGCGGCUGGUUACCAGGCAAAUCCGGUAACCAUAAGGCUAGAGCGUGAGAGGUAAGCGAAAUCUUAGGAAAGUAGCGAAGCACAUGAUGACGGCUUCCAGGAAAAGCUUCUGGCAAUGCAUAUGCGGCCCGUACCAAAACCGACACAGGUGGGCAGGGAGAGAAUCCCGAGGUGAGCGAGAGAACUGUUGCCAAGGAACUCGGCAAAAUGACUCCGUAAGUUAGCGAGAAGGAGUGCUUAAGCAAUUAAGCCGCAGUGAAGAGGCCCAAGCGACUGUUUAACUAAAACACAGCUCUCUGCGAAGUCGCAAGACGAAGUAUAGGGGGUGACACCUGCCCGGUGCUGGAAGGUUAAGAGGAUCUGUUAAGAGCGAUCUGAAGCAGUGAUCCGAAGCCCCAGUGAACGGCGGCCGUAACUAUAACGGUCCUAAGGUAGCGAAAUUCCUUGUCAGGUAAGUUCUGACCCGCACGAAAGGUGUAACGAUUUGGGCGCUGUCUCGGCAGCAGACUCGGUGAAAUCUUAGUACCUGUGAAAAUGCAGGUUACCCGCAACUAGACGGAAAGACCCCAUGGAGCUUUACUGCAGCCUGAUAUUGAAUUCUGGUCAUACAUGUACAGGAUAGGUGGGAGACAAAGAGACGUGCACGCCAGUGUACGAGGAGUCGACGUUGGGAUACCACUCUUGUGUGACCGGGGUUCUAACCUGGUAUCGAGAACAGGUACGGGGAGAGUGUCAGGUGGGCAGUUUGACUGGGGCGGUCGCCUCCCAAAGAGUAACGGAGGCGCCCAAAGGUACGCUCAGAUUGGAUGGAAACCAAUCGACGAGUGCAAUUGCAGAAGCGUGCUUGACUGUGAGACAGACAAGUCGAACAGGGACGAAAGUCGGGAAUAGUGAUCCGGCGGUGCCGAAUGGAAGGGCCGUCGCUCAACGGAUAAAAGCUACCCUGGGGA
RNAcentral lists this ribosomal RNA (2448 nucleotides) under human gut metagenome. RNAcentral describes it as "bacterial LSU rRNA". It matches the Rfam family "Bacterial large subunit ribosomal RNA", at positions 3 to 2474 of the family's 2925-position model. The record is from RNAcentral.